AACGAACGCUGGCGGCAGGCCUAACACAUGCAAGUCGAACGCCGUAGCAAUACGGAGUGGCAGACGGGUGAGUAACGCGUGGGAACAUACCCCUCGGUUCGGAAUAACUCAGGGAGACUUGAGCUAAUACCGGAUACGUCCGAGGUUUUAAUCGACCUUGGAGAAAGAUUUAUCGCCGGAGGAUUGGCCCGCGUCUGAUUAGCUUGUUGGUGAGGUAAUGGCUCACCAAGGCGACGAUCAGUAGCUGGUCUGAGAGGAUGAUCAGCCACAUUGGGACUGAGACACGGCCCAAACUCCGUACGGGAGGCAGCAGGUGGGGAAUAUUGGACAAUGGGCGAAAGCCUGAUCCAGCCAUGCCGCGUGAGUGAUGAAGGCCUUAGGGUUGUAAAGCUCGUUUGCCCGGGAAGAUAAUGACGGUACCGGGAGAAUAAGCCCCGGCUAACUUCGUGCCAGCCGCCGC
RNAcentral lists this ribosomal RNA (460 nucleotides) under uncultured bacterium. Its description in RNAcentral is "bacterial SSU rRNA". It matches the Rfam family "Bacterial small subunit ribosomal RNA", at positions 29 to 518 of the family's 1533-position model. The record is from RNAcentral.